UGUUCUGAAAUCAACCCAUUGAGACCUGACCCCUGCGGUAACAGAGGGUGCACUCCACUGUGCCAGGAACACGAAGACUCAAACCACAUCUAAAAGACGACAGGUCACAUCAUAGAUGAAGAAACCAAAGUUCAGACCUUCCGAGAUCACAUGCCUAAGAUGUCGGAAACAGAUGGAGCUCAGUGGGCAGCAAAGCCCUUGUGUACCAAAGGCCCUGAGUCCCAUCCACAGCCCUACAACCCAUCAGUCAGUAAAUUGGGAAUUUAAGAUGUGAAUGAGGGUUCAAAUGGUCUUCCUUUGGCCUGAAAGCGAGCCCAGAAAUCUUUGUUUUAAAUGUGUAUCUUUGACAGUAAACAAUAUCCUCUACUAUUUCUGCCUACAUUUUAUUCUGUAUAGUGCAUUGUGCCACAUUACUUGUUGACUGAAUAAAUGAAUUUUAUCAAACUCA
Molecule: long non-coding RNA, 448 nt
Organism: Rattus rattus (black rat)
Lineage: Eukaryota; Metazoa; Chordata; Mammalia; Rodentia; Muridae
Exons: 2
Source: RefSeq, a predicted model, not a curated record